This 833-nucleotide ribosomal RNA is filed under the name Staphylococcus aureus H33594. RNAcentral describes it as "bacterial SSU rRNA". It matches the Rfam family "Bacterial small subunit ribosomal RNA", at positions 8 to 823 of the family's 1533-position model. Lineage: Bacteria; Bacillati; Bacillota; Bacilli; Caryophanales; Staphylococcaceae. The record is from RNAcentral.
AGAGUUUGAUCCUGGCUCAGGAUGAACGCUGGCGGCGUGCCUAAUACAUGCAAGUCGAGCGAACGGACGAGAAGCUUGCUUCUCUGAUGUUAGCGGCGGACGGGUGAGUAACACGUGGAUAACCUACCUAUAAGACUGGGAUAACUUCGGGAAACCGGAGCUAAUACCGGAUAAUAUUUUGAACCGCAUGGUUCAAAAGUGAAAGACGGUCUUGCUGUCACUUAUAGAUGGAUCCGCGCUGCAUUAGCUAGUUGGUAAGGUAACGGCUUACCAAGGCAACGAUGCAUAGCCGACCUGAGAGGGUGAUCGGCCACACUGGAACUGAGACACGGUCCAGACUCCUACGGGAGGCAGCAGUAGGGAAUCUUCCGCAAUGGGCGAAAGCCUGACGGAGCAACGCCGCGUGAGUGAUGAAGGUCUUCGGAUCGUAAAACUCUGUUAUUAGGGAAGAACAUAUGUGUAAGUAACUGUGCACAUCUUGACGGUACCUAAUCAGAAAGCCACGGCUAACUACGUGCCAGCAGCCGCGGUAAUACGUAGGUGGCAAGCGUUAUCCGGAAUUAUUGGGCGUAAAGCGCGCGUAGGCGGUUUUUUAAGUCUGAUGUGAAAGCCCACGGCUCAACCGUGGAGGGUCAUUGGAAACUGGAAAACUUGAGUGCAGAAGAGGAAAGUGGAAUUCCAUGUGUAGCGGUGAAAUGCGCAGAGAUAUGGAGGAACACCAGUGGCGAAGGCGACUUUCUGGUCUGUAACUGACGCUGAUGUGCGAAAGCGUGGGGAUCAAACAGGAUUAGAUACCCUGGUAGUCCACGCCGUAAACGAUGAGUGCUAAGUGU